GGGCCCGCACAAGCGGUGGAGCAUGUGGUUUAAUUCGAUGAUACGCGAGGAACCUUACCAGGGCUUAAAUGUAAGUUGCAUAGAUCAGAGAUGGUCUUUUCUUCGGACUACUUACAAGGUGCUGCAUGGUUGUCGUCAGCUCGUGCCGUGAGGUGUCAGGUUAAGUCCUAUAACGAGCGCAACCCCUGUCGUUAGUUACCAGCAAGUAAUGUUGGGUACUCUAGCGAGACUGCCGGUGCAAAACCGUGAGGAAGGUGGGGAUGACGUCAAAUCAUCACGGCCCUUACGUCCUGGCCACACACGUGCUACAAUGGCCGGUACAGAGAGCAGCUACCACGUGAGUGGAUG
This 348-nucleotide ribosomal RNA is filed under the name uncultured bacterium. RNAcentral's name for it is "bacterial SSU rRNA". It matches the Rfam family "Bacterial small subunit ribosomal RNA", at positions 917 to 1267 of the family's 1533-position model. The record is from RNAcentral.